GAUGGGGGAUAACGGGUCGAAAGACUCGCUAAUACCGCAUAUGACGAAAGUUGAAAGGAGUAAUCGUCUAAAGAUGAGCCCGCGUCCGAUUAGCUAGUUGGUAGAGUAAAAAGCCUACCAAGGCGACGAUCGGUAGCUGGUCUGAGAGGAUGAUCAGCCACAAUGGGACUGAGACACGGCCCAUACUCCUACGGGAGGGCAGCAGUGGGGAAUUUUACGCAAUGGGCGAAAGCCUGACGUAGCGACACCGCGUGAGCGAAGAACGCCCCUUGGGGUGUAAAGCUCUGUCAGCUGGAACGAAAAAAUGACGGUACCAGCAGAGGAAGCAUCGGCUAACUACGUG
This 343-nucleotide ribosomal RNA is filed under the name uncultured bacterium. RNAcentral's name for it is "bacterial SSU rRNA". It matches the Rfam family "Bacterial small subunit ribosomal RNA", at positions 135 to 507 of the family's 1533-position model. The record is from RNAcentral.